UGCUAGUUGUACGAGUUUAGACUCGUAGCAGAUAGCUCAGUAACACGUGGCCAAACUACCCUAUGGAUCCGGACAACCUCGGGAAACUGAGGCUAAUCCGGAAUACGGCUCUCAGCCUGGAAGUGGCGAGAGUCAGAAACGCUCCGGCGCCAUAGGAUGUGGCUGCGGCCGAUUAGGUAGACGGUGGGGUAACGGCCCACCGUGCCCAUAAUCGGUACGGGUUGUGAGAGCAAGAGCCCGGAGACGGUAUCUGAGACAAGAUACCGGGCCCUACGGGGCGCAGCAGGCGCGAAACCUUUACACUGCACGAAAGUGCGAUAAGGGGACUCCAAGUGCGAGGGCAUAUAGUCCUCGCUUUUCACUACCGUAAGGUGGUAGUAGAAUAAGUGCUGGGCAAGACCGGUGCCAGCCGCCGCGGUAAUACCGGCAGCACGAGUGAUGACCGCUCUUAUUGGGCCUAAAGCGUCCGUAGCUGGCCACGCAAGUCUAUCGGGAAAUCCGCGCGCUCAACGCGCGGGCGUCCGGUGGAAACUGUGUGGCUUGGGACCGGAAGAUCCAGAGGGUACGUCCGGGGUAGGAGUGAAAUCCCGUAAUCCUGGACGGACCACCGGUGGCGAAAGCGCUCUGGAAAGACGGAUCCGACGGUGAGGGACGAAAGCUCGGGUCACGAACCGGAUUAGAUACCCGGGUAGUCCGAGCUGUAAACGAUGUCUGCUAGGUGUGCCACAGGCUACGAGCCUGUGGUGUGCCGUAGGGAAGCCGUGAAGCAGACCGCCUGGGAAGUACGUCCGCAAGGAUGAAACUUAA
This 807-nucleotide ribosomal RNA is filed under the name uncultured euryarchaeote. RNAcentral describes it as "bacterial SSU rRNA". It matches the Rfam family "Archaeal small subunit ribosomal RNA", at positions 52 to 859 of the family's 1478-position model. Lineage: Archaea; Methanobacteriati; Methanobacteriota. The record is from RNAcentral.